Molecule: long non-coding RNA, 424 nt
Filed under: Scleropages formosus (Asian bonytongue)
Lineage: Eukaryota; Metazoa; Chordata; Actinopteri; Osteoglossiformes; Osteoglossidae
Description: lncRNA (ENSSFOG00015031810.1)
Source: RNAcentral
GUGCCCAUGUCCCCCUCUUAGACGCCUCCAUCCCCCUCACACCCCACCCAGCAUUACGCACCAGAGCCAUCGCAGAACAGAUUGCGGAAUUACCAUUAGAAUAUAAGGAGCCUGGCUGCUGCGGGCGGCAAAUGGAGAAACCGCUGCUGAAUAAGAGGCUACAAAAGGCCUUUGCUCCAUCGCUACAUCCCCAGAGUCCCACAAGAGACUGUUGAAGAUGGCACCUGACGAAGAAAACAACUCUUUGUCAAUGUGCAGGAAUUCAGUCCCUGGAGAUACGGUCUCACAAAAGGGAUACUGGACGUCACCAUGUUUUGCUGAACUGAGUGACCAGUGUUUCUUGGAAAAAACUCACCAAGUUGCUUCUCUACCCGCCAGAACUUGCCGCAAAUAAAUAAAAGUCAAUAUUCCUGGAACCCGGUCC